This 73-nucleotide transfer RNA is filed under the name Anaerolineae bacterium. RNAcentral describes it as "tRNA-Ala". It matches the Rfam family "tRNA". Rfam says of the family: Transfer RNA (tRNA) molecules are approximately 80 nucleotides in length. Their secondary structure includes four short double-helical elements and three loops (D, anti-codon, and T loops). The record is from RNAcentral. Lineage: Bacteria; Bacillati; Chloroflexota; Anaerolineae.
GGGCCCGUAGCGAAGUUGGGAUCGCGCUACAAUCGCACUGUAGAGGUCAGGGGUUCGAGCCCCCUCGGGUCCA